AAGAGAAUCCUCUGAAUGCUGACAACUUUGAUAUGUCUGCUAACACUGUAAACAUGGGCACUAAGACACAUCCAGCUGUUCUGUUCCACCACACCUCCACACAGACCAGCUGCCUGAAUUUAGAUGGCAUAAUGCAGAUAAAACUAAUUACCAAUCCACAGGAUUCUUGUGCCAUAGCACUAAGCUGCAGUGAUAAGACAAGCAACCCGAGCCAUUCAUCUGCCUCAACAACCACCACAGCCAAUGGUUGUUCUACUCAAGUAGAGGUGCAACACUGCCCAUACAUCCACCGCAGUAUUGUCCCUACAGGCAGUAACCUGAGGGAUUGUGUCUGCAAAUUGACCAAAGAACGCCAUUACCAUUUCUCCAUCAUUCGCUCUAAGCUGGACCACAUGAUGAUGAUGCUAUCCCAAAGGAGGGAGCUGGUGGAUCUUGCUGGUCAGCACAAGGGCUACAAAAUUCUGCCUUCUGCUUGACAGCUCCAUGGGGUGAAGGAAAGUGUGUUGGUCGGGACGUGGGCAAAGUCAAGAUGUCUGCAGUGAAAGGCGCAUUCUUGAUAUUGGGAAUGUUUGGCUCAGUGAACACGUUUUUUAAGCAGUCCAUACAGGAUUUCACAGAGUUUUUUUGUGAUUGUUAUGGCCAAAAAUGCUUGACUGAAGAACACCAAAGAACCAAAUAAUGCUGUGGCUUCUUUUCAAAAUUUGUUUUUUGUGCUUUUUUUUGUGUGGAAAACUACUUGAAUUGGACGAAAUUGUUUUGCAGUGAUGUUUGUUGUUAAAUGAGACCUUCUAGCUGUACUCAUGUUCGACACAUGAAUCAAAGAAGGCUUUGUCUGAAUGUGCGUUGUGAUGACGUGACAUGAGGUGUCUUGGCCCAAAUCUGAGUAAAAUCUGCGGUAAUUUAGAAAAUUGUAAGCUCCUCCACCUAUUGCGGAGUUUACUUGAUUUGCGUUUAUUUCUGCGAUCAUCUGUUUAAGGGUUUUAGUAAAGAAUAUAUUUUAAUAACUUAUAGGGGGUUGGACAAGCCAAAGCACAUUUUAAGACCAUGGGUAAAAAUAUUUUAUAGUGUGGUUACAUGCUCUAUAUUUUGAGGUCGCGUUUCAAUGUGGGAAGGUAAUGUUUAAAUAUCCUAACACUACUACAACUUGUGUUCAACCCCAUUCCAAAAAGUUGGGACGCUGUGUAAAAUGUAAAUAAAAACCAAAUGCAAUGAUCUGCAAAUCUCAUAAACCCAUAUGUUAUUGAAAAUAGAACAUAGAAAACGUAUCAAAAGUUUAAAAGGAAAUGGAAAUGUACAAUUUUAAAGAAAAAAUAAGGCAAUUUUGACUUUGAUGACUCUUUUUGGAAUUGGGGUUGUAAUUAAAGACUUUCUUCUUGAUUAAAAAAAUUGUUUAAUAUUAGAUUUUGACACAUGACACUUAUUUACAUGCUAUUGAUUUUGACAGUGGUAUAAGAAAAGUCAUUAAUCAGUUUUUUUUCCUGCAGUUUUGUGUAAAUGGGUAAUGUGUGGAAAUUGUAAAGGGUUAGUCGUAUUUUUUUACAUUUUCAUUCUCUUUCAGUGCAACAUUACACACUUGGAUAGUUGUUUUUUUGUAACCUAGUUUUUCUUGAAAACAUUCUCUCCUUCUUUCUUUAUACACCAUUACAUUCCAAGCAUUUGCCUAGUUUAGCAGAGCACUUCUGACAUUUUGCCAACUUGUCUCAUGGUUUAUAUUUAAAUAGACAAACAAACUUUAAAUGUGUACAUACUGACCGGGCCAGACUUUGACAAAAAAUUCAGGCCAGUAGUCUCACAAAAAUAUUUCCUCAAUUAAAGAGGUGGUGUUGAGAGUAAAUGUUGACUGCUGUCUACUAGUUGUUAGAGUUUGUUCUCUUUUCCUUCUUAAUAAAGAUGCAAACAGACACAACCUUGGUAUAGUGAUGUUUUGUUGAAGCUUUAGUCACACAUUCAGCACAGGUGUUGUCUCUUCAAGGCUCAGUUCCUCAUCUGCCCACCUACCGACGAACCUUUUCUCAAAAUAUCUUCCUUAAAGGCAGGGUUCCUAUGCAGUGUGUAAAAGUAUGGAAUUUGAUUUUAGUAAUUUCCAGGUCUGGAUAAAUAUGGAAAAAUGUGUUUCCAG
Ictalurus punctatus (channel catfish) is the source of this 2119-nucleotide long non-coding RNA. The record is from Ensembl. Lineage: Eukaryota; Metazoa; Chordata; Actinopteri; Siluriformes; Ictaluridae.